ACCAAAGCCCAUUGAGGUCAAUGUGAGUCUUUCUGUUGACUUCAGUGGGCUCAGGAUC
This 58-nucleotide microRNA precursor is filed under the name Sphenodon punctatus (tuatara). RNAcentral describes it as "Spt-Mir-1677-P7_pre stem-loop". Lineage: Eukaryota; Metazoa; Chordata; Lepidosauria; Sphenodontia; Sphenodontidae. The record is from RNAcentral.